UACGUAGGGUGCUAGCGUUGUCCGGAAUCAUUGGGCGUAAAGCGCGCGUAGGCGGCCCGGUAAGUCCGCUGUAAAAGUCAAAGGCUCAACCUUUGAAUGUCAGUGGAUACUGCCGGGCUAGAGGAUGGUAGAGGCGAGUGGAAUUCCCGGUGUAGCGGUGAAAUGCGCAGAUAUCGGGAGGAACACCAGUAGCGAAGGCGGCUCGCUGGGCCAUUCCUGACGCUGAGACGCGAAAGCUAGGGGAGCGAACAGG
Molecule: ribosomal RNA, 253 nt
Filed under: uncultured bacterium
Lineage: Bacteria
Description: partial 16S ribosomal RNA
Rfam family: Bacterial small subunit ribosomal RNA
Source: RNAcentral